GUGGCCAGGGAGCCGCAGGCAAGGGACUAAGGGGAGGGGGGCUCAGUGCCAGCUGCUUAAAAAUGCCCCUGUGGCAGCGAGGGGCACCAGAGGCUGGGUCUAAUUAGUUGAGAAGCAGUGACACCCCCAACCACUCCCCAAACAGGCUGGCUCCCGUCUCCAGGCCCCAAGGAGCCACACCUGGACCAGACCCCAGGAAAGACAUGUGGUGGAAACCCUACGGCCCUGGAGCCCAAGGAGAGCAACGGCUGUAACAAGUGCACAGGUUUGAGUGCGCUGAGACAGGGGAACCGUGGGCAAAGAGGUCCCUCCAGAAAGAGCUGGGUGUGAGCAUGGGUUCGUGAGCUUGCCUGGAGCCCUGGCCUCAGCCCUCUCUCACUGAGGUGCCAUCUGGCUCGCAGAUGUGGCCCAUUCCCAGCCCCUCGUGUUUCUUGGAAAUGAGAAAGUCCAGGAAAGGGCACAGGGGCUUUCGCAACGACCGUGGCGAUGAUAGCUUUGACGUGUGGUCAUCCAGCCGGCCACUGCCCACACCCAAGAGAAAGCUGGAUUGAGCAUCAGGAGCCUGGGUUCAAGUCUGCCUCUCAAGCUGUUCCACAGGUGACCCUGGGCAAAUCGCACAGGCUCCUGGAACUUCAGAAAGGGGAAGAAUUAUUCCUGCCUCUGGCGACAUCAGCGAAUGUGCCUUGAGUUACGGGAGUGUUUUGAAGGCUGAAAGCUUUGUGUACACGGAAGGGGUCAAAGACAGCCACAAGCCUGUCCCUUUGGUCUUGGUCAUCAUGUUAACCCCAGGUUUCGAUUUAAUCCUACAUGCUCCUUUCUUAUGUGUGAGGCUGAGGUGGGGGCAUUGGUCAGAGGAGCCUCUGGGAAAUUUCCUUUCAGGACAGUUCUUUUGUUAAGGGGCCUGGGUGUGCUGAGAAGGGAAGGUGGCUCCUCCUGCUCUUGGAGCUUGGAGUUUCUCACAAGCUCUCCCUUAAAAGCCAGGCAGGCCAAGAAGGGAUAAUGGCUGCUCAGGGCCCAAGGGGCAGGAUCUCUGAGGCCCGGAAGAUCUCAGUAGGUUUAGCCCAAGAGUAUCCAGAAGUGGCCCAGGCCCAUUCUCCAUCCCUCAGAGCCUGGCAGCCUGGUCAGGACCCUCAAAGGCCAUGACCGUACCCGUAGGGCACCCUGGUGUCCUUCUGACAGGUGGGAUCUUUGUUUCUUACAGGCAAGGGCGCUAGCUGGUGGGAGCCACCCCGCCAUGCUGAUGUCAGAGAAGCAAGAACUCUGGAGAAGCAGCCUCCUGGGACCAGAGGAGGGCCAGCAGCAGGCAGCCCGGAGACAGAACUGUGAGCCCACCCCACCUCCACCCUUCCGGCACCCACAUCCGCUCCCCACCCCAGCCCACCUGCAGGUGGCUCCUGGAGUAUCCUGGGUCCCUCAGGAUAAACUCCCCACCCUAACCUCAGAAUGACCAAGAAACUGGGCCUGAGGAUGACAAGAAGCAGAAUGGGCCUUGGUAAAGGAAGACCCCCCACUGAUUGGUGGCAGUGCGGGCAGUUCAGGGCUGUCAGCGUCUGGGUUGUAGGUAAAAAGAAAUGGAACCCAAGAAGGGAAAUCCAACUAGGAGCCAAGAAUCCGGUCUACCCCAUCCUCCUUACGAAAUAGCAAUGCAAAGCCCGUGUGAUUUGGACAUAAAGCCUCUGUUACUCAACUUGAUUCGGUGAAUAACAGACUUGAAAGAAAUGUGGAAAAUAAUAGUAAUCUUCCCUAGAAAGGAGUAAACAGGGUUGAGCUCCCAAAGCAGGAAGACCUGGGGCUGUGUGAUCUUGGACGAGUCACUCAACCUCUCUGAGCCUAGUGAUAAAGAGCCAGCUCAUAGGGCUUUGAGAGGAUUUGUGAGGUUGGGCUGGUGUCCCCAGGCACAGCCCUUGGCACAUAGUGAAACUCAAGAAAACAGAGCAGUUUUUACCAUUCAUCACAUUAUUCCCACACUUGCCAAUUUUUUAAGUUCAUGCACAUGGUGGAACAGGUAGGGUGAGGUGCCAGCUCCAUAAGAUGAGUGGAGAAACUGAGGCCUGGAGAGGUGAAAGCAUUCACUCAGAGUUGCAUGUAGAGUCAGUUGCAAAGGAGAAUUCUGGCACCAGUUCUCAUGUGGAUGGAAAAAGUGCAGGAAGAUUUGGAGGUGAGCAGAGGAGAAGGGAGGAGGAGGCCGGGUUCCAGGAAAGGAGCUGACAUCCAGGGAUGUGGGACAAGGCCCAGGCCUGUCUUACAUAACAUGGUCCACCUGUUCACCCCUGCAGGCCCCACAAAUGUGUGCAAACGUGCACCCCGGCACAGCGCACACCCAGUCCUCCCUCACUGGCAAAUAAGCCACAGAGACUGGGUUUAAACAAAUUGGAUUAGGAGGGCUACAGGCGCCUCCUCCCCCCGACUGUCCGGCUCCGACACUAAACAGACCUGCAGAACUGCCAGCUGUGGUCUCUCGGACACACUGACAGUCGGUCCUUGGCUCCCUCACCCCACCCGUGGGCCUCAGGAAGGGGGUUGGGGUCUGAGAGGAUGCCACAGUGAUGGAUGGGGUGAGGGAGGUUCCAGGGCUAGCUCAACAGCGCACAGGAUGUUAGUGCUUUUGCGAGGCACAUUUCCGAGCUGUUCCCAGACCCGCCCCCACUUCCCCCCUCACCCUCCCCUCCGGCAGCCUCUCCCAUGGCCACUGCUGCGGGCUGUGAGCAGAGCCCCGUCCUUGAGCAGAUUGACCUCAUCUUUCAGUCCUGCAGCUGGGCUGAGCGGGGAGUCAGCUCAGAAGACACUGGCCUGGGGAUGAGACUCGGGGCAUGCUUCAGAGGGAAGAAAGAGCUUCUGAACAGACAAUGCUGUCUUAAAGGUGGCAUCUUGGUGCUUUCUCAUGCCUUGUUUUCUUUCAUCCUCAGAAUGUGUCUGGGGGUGAGAGGACGGGUGUGACUGCUGAAACUUCCUUUCUUGGUGAUUCCACAUCACUCCUUUCUGAUCCCUGAGCCUGUGCCACGCCCUGUGUGAUGUGCCGGGGACACCAGGGUGAAUACUUACAGGCCCUGUUCCCCUUCCUUCAUGAAACAGCCUCCUUCGGGCUGGGUCACUGGGCACUGGGGCCUCCCUGGUCUUCCAGGAUUGCAACUUCACAGAAUCCCUUUUCCAUAAGGCACAUGAAAGUGACUGUGACCCGCAACGGGAGCCUUGACAACCAGCCAAUUCAGAACACAGACCUUGACAUCGGAAGGCCCCGAGUUCAAAUCCUGCCUUGCUCCCUUUCAGCUGGAAAGCUGUGGUCAAAUUACUUAGCCUCUCCAAGCCAGUUUUCCCUUCUGCAAAAUGAGGUUACACAAGCUGCCACCUCACAGAAUGAGUGUGAGAAUUAAUUCUUAUUUUCCACACCCUCAUUUGACAGGGGGAGAAACAGAAGCCCAGAGAGGGAAAGGGCUUGGUUAGGAUCACACCAUGAGUUGGGGGUUAAGUCAGGAUGGGGUAGGUCCCCUCUUUCUCUGGGUGUUCCUCUCCCCCAUCCCUUAUCUCAACAUAAAUCCUCCCCAGUUGCCCAGGUUGUCCAGGCGAUUCCUGGCACACGUCCUGGGGCCUGCCCUCCACCUUUAGCCCUGCUCUGGCUUCUGCAGCAGCAGAGUCCUGGGUGACCAGCAGUGGCCCCUGGCCCUCUGAGUGGUGGUGGAGGGUGGGGGUGCACUGCAGCAAGCUCCCAGCCCAGAGCAGCCUGGCCAUAUAAGGGAAGGAGCUCAGGGAGGCCUCCUGGCUCAGGCCUGGCGAGAAAACCCAGACAGCCACUGUUUAUUUUCUCCUCCCCAGCUCACCCACGCCUCUCCAAGCCUCCCAACAGAAGACAGAGGUCCCCCACAGCCAGAGACAUUUCCUGAAGACAUGGGGAACACAGAGGCAGAAACAGCCCAUCCACCCAGGAGCUGUCCCCCACACUGCCGGGAGCCGGCACCCAGAGCCGCCAGGUAAAACUGAGGCCACCUGGUUCAACAUCACCUUUCACAGAAGGGGAAGCAGCCACAGAAAGAAGGGCCUCGUUAAGAAGUGGAACCUGGGACCCCCAAGCGGUGUCUCUCAUCCUGACUGGGGAUCCAGAGUAGGAGGGAGCCUUUGGUGGGGUAAGUGGAAUGGGGCGGGGUGGGGGGUGGCCAUAGACCCCUCUUCUCAGUAAGGCCCUCAUGUGAAGGAGGCAGGGGUUGGGACAAGUGCUAAGUAUGCAAGACUCAAGGGAAGAGCUGCUGGAGCCAGGAGAAGCACCUCCCUCCCGGCCCCUCUGCCCCUCCUCAUAGCCCAGCUGCACUGACUCCUCCUCCAGGAAGCCUUCUCAGCUUCCCCAGGGGUGGGAACCUUUUUGUCCUCCAGGUGUGCUUGGCUGUCCUUUCUUGGGCUCUCUCUCUCUCUCUCUCCUCAUCCCACUUGAGUCUGCCCCCUAUUCACCUUGUGAGGGGAAUUUUCCUUCUACUCAAUCUGACCGAGGUCCUCCAGGUCAAGGACAGCGAGGCUCUCAGUCCCACUUCCCCUUGGCACAUAGAAGAGGCAGUGCGCUGAAGGGACAGGUGAAAUGAUUAGACCCUGCCCCCAAACCAAGGCCUGGCCAAUUGGACAGGGCAUGAGACAUUCAGCGUAGAGGUUAAAACGAGGGCCCUGGGUUAGGAACCCCAGCUCAGUUCUCAGCUCUGUACCCUUGGAAAAUUCCCUUCCCAUGGAGCUUUGUGGAUGCACAAGGACUUGCACAAAGAAAACAUUCAAUAUCCAGGACUAUAAAAUUCCACAAAUGAUUGUGCUUAUUACAUUCAUUAUCACGAUGAUUAUUCCAGACACAAAGGAACAGAACGAGGCACCAACAGCAAGGGGCAAGCAGAUUCAAGGGCCACAGAGGAGAUGGAGGCAAACACCUUCCCCUGGUCAGAGGCUGUGCCUCAGCCCUUCUCCCUGCAUCAGUUUCUCCUUCAGAAGCAUGGGACUACCUCCCAUCUAGUUCUCGUUUCUAAACCUAGGGGAGAUGCUAUCUUUGCUGCAAUAAUCUUAGCCUACAUCUUGGAAUGGAAAUGGCCUUGGUGGAAAUGGUCUUCAACUCCUCUGGUCCAAGCUCAGGCCCUGUGACCCUGGAACAAUCCCCUUCCUGGUCCUCCAUGUAGGAGCAAUAACAUUCCCUUGCCAGCAGCACCAGCCAUUCUGAUGAUUAAAUGGUAUCGGACUCUGUUUUCCAAACUCAGUCAUUCAGAUGCCCCCUAUUUUAUUUCUUCCAUGUCUGCAAAUGAUUAUAAUAUUUUUAAAUGUAGGAUGAGUCCUUUUUAUUACACAUAGAAAUAGCUACUGUAAAUAGCAAACUCUAACACUGUGCCUAAUUAGGAAAUAAAGGUAACCAUAAAUACAGUAAAAAUGAAACAAUGUUAUUAUGGUUUAACCUGAUAGUGUGGCUUGCAAGGCCCUGGGCCUGAAGCCUGGGCAAUAAGUGAGAGUUAGAAAGGUGUCAAAGACAUGAUAGCAGCAAACUGAGGCUUUGUACCCCACGGUAAAUAGGACUGAAAGCAAAUUCACAGGGAGCAACUGAUCCAUUCCACAACAGAAUGCUCCCUGUCAAUUCGCUUUCCAUUCUGUUGUGUCCUGUCUCCCAGCAGAGACUACAAACUCCCCAAAACCACUUACCCACCAGCUGCACGUGAGAAGCCAAAGGUAGUUUAUGUGAAAGGGCUUUGGAAAUAAUCACGCACCAAGUGAAGGCAGAGGACACACCUUGUCAGCUUAGUUCUCAGCAGCAAAUCAUCUCUUUUCCAGGAUAACCCUCCCUGAUUCUUAUUGAAAUCUCUUUGCUGACCACACUAAGCUCUUCUCUCUCAGGGGCAGUGGGAGCCGUGGAGAGUGGAAUAGACCAGCUGUCUGUGACCUGCGAGGGAGUCCAAUGUCGGAAUCACUCCCCAGCCAAAUGCACGGUUUUAAAAAAUCUAUUUAUUUAUUUAUGUAGAGACCAGGCUAUGAGACUGGCUAAUUUUUCGUAUUUUUGGAUAGAGACAGGAUUUCAUCGUGUUGCCCAGGCUGGUCUUGAACUCCUGGGCUCAAGCGAUCCACCUGCCUCGGCUUCCCAAAGUGCUCAGGAUUACAGGCGUGAGCCACUGUGCCCAGCCACCAAAUGCAGUUGAAAAGAGUUUCUGCAAGAUAAUUCCACAGAAGAGGAAAGCAGUUAUCUGGCUGGGAAUACCUUAGACAGAGGCUGUCCUCUACACAGGCUGUCAGAACUGACCUACUGACCUGCCUGCUGGCAUGAUAGACCAGAGGGAAACACUCUUUCCACUCUUCCCAGACUGAGUGUAAGAGACAGACUUUUUUUUUUUUUUUUGAGACGGAGUCUCACUCUGUCACCCAGGCUGGAGUGCAAUGGCAAGAUCUCGGCUCACUGCAACCUCCACCUCCCCGGGUUCAAACCAUUCUCCUGCCUCAGCCUCCCAGGUAGCUGGGAUUACAGGCUCCCGCCACCACGCCUGGCUAAUUUUUGUAUUUUUAGUAGAGACAGGGUUUCACCAUGUUGGCCGGGCUGGUCUCGAACUCCCAACCUCAGGUGAUCCGCCUACCUUGGCCUCCCAAAGGGUUGGGAUUACAGGUGUAAGCCACUGCUCCCAGCCUUUUUUUUUUUUUUUAUUAGAGACAAGGGCUCCCCAUGUUGCCCAGGCUGAUCUUGAACUCUAGGCUCAAGCGAUCCUCCUGCCUGAGCCUCCCAAAGUGCUAGGAUUACAGGCAUGAGCACUGCUCCCAGCUCUGUUUUUGUUUUUUUAAGGAGGUAUAUUUUUUCUGUUCUCUCUCAGCCCUGAAGAAAGGCUACCCAUCCCCUUCAGACAUUCCUGAAAAUAUAUGUCAUCCAACAUCAAGGCCACCACAGUGACCACUAAGCAAUGCAAGAAGGUCCUCUGGGGUGCCCUGAGAUCUUGGCAGGGCAGGAAGAGUGAGAAGGGGCUUUGCCUGCUCACCUGAAAGUUCCCACCCAAGCCGGGCCCAGAAAACAAAAUGAAUUAUCUACAUGGUCAUCCAAUCAGCCACCAAAUGGCAUUACCUAGGUCCAUCAUCAUGUACCAAGCCACAGGUCAGACCCAGGGCCCCCCAAAUUAACAAGACACAGGCACUGUCCUCAGGAAGUGGAGAUCUAGCCAGGUCAGACCCACACACAAAUAACACUGAUACUAGAGAUAAUGAGAUUGGGAAUUAUGAUUCAGCCAUUCAACCUGGGCUUAUGUGGCAUCUACACCACCUGGCCCUGAUUUCAGUAGUGAGCACAGUUGACAGGGUCCCUUCCCUUCACAGGUGAGCCAUGUAGUCCACAAGUGGAGGUGGUCGUAAGUGAAAACCACAUUACCAGCAUGGUAAAGGGUUAGAAAGAGGGCACCGGGUGGGCGAGAACAUGAAGCAGGGGGUGCUGAUGGCUAAAGAAGUAAAGGAGGGGCUGGGCACUGUGGUUCAUGCCUAUAAUCCCAGCACUUUGGGAGACCAAGGCGGGUGGAUCACCUGAGGUCAGGAGUUCUAGACCAGCCUGGGCAACGUGGUGAAACCCUGUCUCUACUAAAAAUACAAAAAUUAGCCAGGCAUGGUGGUGCACGCCUGUAGUCCCAGCUACUUGGGAGGCUGGGGCAUGAGAAUUGCUUUAACCCGGAAGGUGGAGUUUGCAGUGAGCCGAGAUCGUGUCACUGCACUCCAGCCUGGGCGACAGAGGGAGACUCUGUCUCAAAAAAAAAAAAAAGUCAAGGAGGGUUUCCCAGAGUGGCCACUUGAUUAGAGACCUAGCACAGGAGGAAGAGAUGGGCAGGGAGAGUGACGGGGAGCAGCACAGUCCCUGGGAGCCCGAAGUGGGUGGGCACAGGGCUCCCUAGGAGAAUGGAAGGACAUCUAUGAGCUGUAGCCCAAGAGGAAGAGGUCACUGGGGCUAGAUGCGGCAGACCCUCGCAGGCUUUGGGAAGGGCUUCAGAAUUCAGCCUGAGGGCAAUGGGGAGCCCUUUUGGGAUAUUAAACUUGAGUAAGAUAUGAGCAUAUUUGCAUCUUGAAAAAUCAUUAUGGGAAGAUGGCUGGGAAGAGAGGAGGAGUGGCAGAAGAAAGAUAGGUUGGAGACAAUUGAUUGCUCGAUGAUAUAAAAUGUUAAGUACCAUGAAUGAUGCUGUUAGGCUGGAAUGCGCCAAGCAUAAAGGUGGGGCAUGGCAUCAAAAGGUAGGUCAACAUAUUAAAUAAUUCCAUGUAUUGAAAUAUCCAGAAAAUAUAUAGACAGAUCUAUAGAGAUAGAAACUGGUCUGCCCAGGACUAGGGGUUGUCUAAGGAUAAGGAGCUUCUUUUUUGGAUGGUGAAAUAACCUAAAAUAUAUUGUGCCAUUGUUUGCACAACUUUGUGAAUAUAUUAAAAACCUGUUAAUUGUACUCACUAAA
RNAcentral lists this long non-coding RNA (8399 nucleotides) under Homo sapiens (human). RNAcentral describes it as "non-protein coding CARMN:29". Lineage: Eukaryota; Metazoa; Chordata; Mammalia; Primates; Hominidae. The record is from RNAcentral.